This 301-nucleotide ribosomal RNA is filed under the name uncultured bacterium. Its description in RNAcentral is "partial 16S ribosomal RNA". It matches the Rfam family "Bacterial small subunit ribosomal RNA", at positions 509 to 807 of the family's 1533-position model. The record is from RNAcentral.
CAGUCGCCGCGGGAAUACAGAGGGUGCGAGCGUUAAUCGGAUUUACUGGGCGUAAAGCGUGCGUAGGCGGCUUCUUAAGUCGGAUGUGAAAUCCCUGAGCUUAACUUAGGAAUUGCAUUCGAUACUGGGAAGCUAGAGUAUGGGAGAGGAUGGUAGAAUUCCAGGUGUAGCGGUGAAAUGCGUAGAGAUCUGGAGGAAUACCGAUGGCGAAGGCAGCCAUCUGGCCUAAUACUGACGCUGAGGUACGAAAGCAUGGGGAGCAAAUAGGAUUAGAUACCCCCGUAGUCCCUGUCUCUUAUAC